CCGGUGUGAGUAGCGAAAGACGGGUGAGAAUCCCGUCCACCGAUUGACUAAGGUUUCCAGAGGAAGGCUCGUCCGCUCUGGGUUAGUCGGGUCCUAAGCUGAGGCCGACAGGCGUAGGCGAUGGAUAACAGGUUGAUAUUCCUGUACCACCUAUAAUCGUUUUAAUCGAUGGGGGGACGCAGUAGGAUAGGCGAAGCGUGCGAUUGGAUUGCACGUCUAAGCAGUAAGGCUGAGUAUUAGGCAAAUCCGGUACUCAUUAAGGCUGAGCUGUGAUGGGGAGAAGACAUUGUGUCUUCGAGUCGUUGAUUUCACACUGCCGAGAAAAGCCUCUAGAUAGAAAAUAGGUGCCCGUACCGCAAACCGACACAGGUAGUCAAGAUGAGAAUUCUAAGGUGAGCGAGCGAACUCUCGUUAAGGAACUCGGCAAAAUGACCCCGUAACUUCGGGAGAAGGGGUGCUCUUUAGGGUUAACGCCCAGAAGAGCCGCAGUGAAUAGGCCCAAGCGACUGUUUAUCAAAAACACAGGUCUCUGCUAAACCGUAAGGUGAUGUAUAGGGGCUGACGCCUGCCCGG
This 573-nucleotide ribosomal RNA is filed under the name Staphylococcus aureus. Its description in RNAcentral is "partial 23S ribosomal RNA". It matches the Rfam family "Bacterial large subunit ribosomal RNA", at positions 1297 to 1866 of the family's 2925-position model. Lineage: Bacteria; Bacillati; Bacillota; Bacilli; Caryophanales; Staphylococcaceae. The record is from RNAcentral.